AUUAGAUCGAAAUCAGCCAAUAGUAGUGAACACUAUAAUAUUAGUUCUAGUUUUAAUUUGUGUCAUGAAAGUCGUUUUAUGAAUGCUGAUGCCUCUGUUGUUAAUCACUUAGAAAAAAAGUUUAUUCGAGAAUGGUGAAGGCUUUGAGGAAGAAGACGAUUGAAACCUGUUUGAAAGUGAACAAUGAACAUUCUAUCAUGCUUUGUUUUCCGCAGAGCUUGACGGAUGCUAGACGAACGAAAUCUGAGGUUUACGAAAGGUUUCGCAUGUGUAUUGUGAUGAAUUGUCUCAUGUUACUUUCUAAACGCUAAUUUUUCUUUAACUUUGGUGUGAAUCUGUGAGUAUAUGCGAUUGUUUUAAAUUAGGUUGAUUGUUUAGUGAUAUUUUGAUUUUUUCUUCAUUUUUGUGGAUGAUUACUGUUGUGAUUAGAAAAUAAGUAUGAUAAUUAGGUCAUUAGAUAUGGAACCAUGAAAGGAUGAGAUAUUUUGUUACAUUAUGAUAACUGUAGUAUUAAAAAAAAUAUUAUGAUCUAGUUUUAGUAAAGAAGUCGUGUUCAUUGAAAACAUCCUUUCAAUAGAUAGUUUCAUCAUGAGAUACCUUCAAUUGCUGAAAAUUUAUUAACACAGAAGUUAUCUUGGUUAAACUAUGUAAUUAGCACUUUAUUGCUCAAAAGAGAUAUGUCACUGAUGUUGUCUGGGCUAUCUAAUCUUUUCUCUUGAAGCUAGUUUCUUUUGCUCUUAUUUCUGUCGACCCAAACCUGUUUCGAAAGGCAAACCAUACAGAAUUGAAUCAGUUUGAAAUCUGGGUUCAAUGUAUUAUUUAACUACCGGUUAUCCCAAACCGGUUUCAAAACUGUAUUCAAUGUAUAUAUGCUCAAACCUGAGGAUCGGACCGGAUUCGAACCAGCUUCAGAUCAGUUUAUUGGUUUAGUAUCCGGUUUCAGAUUCGGAUCCGGAUCCUGUUUGGUUGUGCACCUCUAAUUUGACUUAUGAUCUUAACAAAAAACUCUUAAACCAUUUGAGCCAGGCCGUUAACUGAACCAGUUGGGCAAAGCCUAAAAAACUGAAACCAAUCUUUGAAGCCCAAAUUUGAUGGGCCCACGUUUAAUUUUCUUUUGCAGAAAGCGAUUCUUCCAAGAAUUUCAUGAGUGGGAAUCCGUCAAGUUUCAAUGAUGUUAAAAGUCAACGAAUUAUUUAAGAAAAGGUUGAUUCCUGGUUGUGGUUGUUAAUCAAGGAGUAUUUGUAUAACUGCCGGAAGUCUAUUUCUGUAUUUUUCCGACGGGCCAUUGAGCAUUUGUUCCAAGCGAGAUGUCUGAUAGGUUUGGAGAAGUGGCGAGCGGGCCAACCCAAGACCCAUCUACCAACAGUAGCGACGCUGGCGAUUUCGAGUGCAACAUAUGCUUUGACUUGGCCCAAGACCCGAUCGUCACUUUAUGCGGGCAUCUUUUUUGCUGGCCCUGCCUUUACAAAUGGCUUCACCUACGUUCACAUUCUCAAGAAUGCCCUGUUUGUAAAGCCCAAAUUGAAGAAGGAAAGUUAGUCCCUUUAUACGGUAGAGGAAAGGACUCAACCACUCGAAGAUCAAGACCCAUUCCUGAUGACGAAAUCCCAAAUAUGAAACUGUCAGGAAAUUACGAGAGAAACCAUAUACGUGGAAUGACACGAGACGGUAAGAACGAUGCACCCACACUAAAACGGGCCGACAUUGGUAUUGCGGUUGCUGAUGCAACUGAUGCAACCCGUGGUGCAUUCAAUAUUGUGUUGACCGAGCCUGGGCUAAGUGUAAAUAUAUCCGUGAUAUAUUCUAUCACCUAACAUCUACAAGCUAUCAUUAUACAUUCAGAUCAUACGCAUAUAAUUUUAUGUAAACAUUUGCUGGUUAGACCAGUUAUUGGUAGCUUCUGACCCGCUUACUUUAUAUUCAUUUGAUAGUUAUUUGUGUUCCUCCUUUUCAAGACUGGUUUCUAAUGGUGGAUGAGCUUGUUGUUUCUGAUGGUGGAUGCUUGCAGGUUCGCUGGACCUCCUAGCCUUGUGCAGUUGGACCUCCUGGCCUUGUGCAACUUCCAGUUGCAGAUACGCUUACCUGGACAAAGUUGAUAACCAAUGUCGAGCUAUUGCCACCUAGAGCUGGUCAUACAACCGUUGCAUUGGGCAAGAACUUGCUUGUAUUUGGAGGUUUUACUGACGCUGAAGAUCUUUAUGAUGACUUAUAUAUGUUUGAUCUUGAAACGUGUAGAUGGACCAAUGUUAUUACUUUAGGAGUGGGCCCAUCUGCCAGAUUUUCUAUGGCAGGAAGCACUUUGCAUCCACAGCAUGGAGGCGUUCUUAUAUUCAUGGGAGGCUGCAAUAAGAGUCUCGAGGCACUUGAUGACAUGUUCUACCUACACGCAGGUUUUAUUAACUUUGUGAUUACGGGUCAAAGUCAUGUUGGUUGCCCAAGUCAUGUAAUUCGUUAAGUGUCAACAUCGGCCAUUGAAACCUGGAUUGCUCUUUCAGACUGCUUCAGUUGGACAUGCCUAAGUUUUCCUUUCUAAUAUAUCUUUCAGACUGCUUCAAUUGGACAUGCCUAAGCUUUCAAGGCACAGGUAAACUUAUUGAGUUUUUUUAGAUAAUCAAUGUUUUAAAUAUACUGUUAUACUAUAUUACUACUAUGAUAAUCUUGUCUUUUAAAUAAGAGUAAAGUACAUGGAUGGUCCUUGUGGUUUAUAUGCGUAUACGCUUACGGGUCUAACUUCUAAGAGCCGUGAAUCAUAUGCUAAUGCUGGCAUCAUUGCUGAACAGGUGAUCAUACCUUUGAAGUUUCCUCAAGUUUUUCCACUUUAAGUUUGUGUAUCUUGAUAAAAAUUAGUUAGUUACUUUAUGGUCAUCAAAUGGAAGCCUCUGUAAGUUGUGAAGUUCAAAUGGCAUCCUGGUGCCAUGAAUGGCUACAAGUGAUUCAUUAUUUAUUCAUGGAUAUAUAUUGUAUGGGCAUGCACAUGAUCUCCGGAUAAUGCUCUCAGUUCAAAUGGUAAUUUGUUCCUUCUUGAGCAUAUAGUUAACUGAUUAGUUUCAUAAAUUGUGAUUAUGCUGGCCAUUAAUAUUUCACUUUGCAUUGGUUUUAUUAGAUCGAAAGGUUGAACGUGAUUAUCCAAGAUAUAGUGAAAGAAAAAGAAGAAGAAAAAGAAAAAGAAA
This is a long non-coding RNA of Helianthus annuus (common sunflower), 3170 nucleotides long. RefSeq lists it as uncharacterized. The transcript is spliced from 6 exons. Lineage: Eukaryota; Viridiplantae; Streptophyta; Magnoliopsida; Asterales; Asteraceae. The record is from RefSeq and is a predicted model, not a curated record.